GUAUAAUACAGAGUGUUAAUAAUAAGAAUUUAAAUAACGAUUUAAAUAAAAUAAAAGAAUAAAUAAAUAUUUAUAUUAAUGAAUAAUUAAAUUGAUCAUUGAAUAAAUAGAAUAGAUAAGUUCAGAUGAAUCGAAAAAUGUCUUUUAAGAUUUUUCAGUUGUAAUAAAUAUCAAGUUAACUGUCAUAUUCCUUAAACAGUAAAAUUUCCUUAAAAUUACCAAUUUAGGGGCAGCAACCCAACAAUGGGUUGUCUGAUUCAUCUGAAAAUUUCAGGGCAGAUAGAUCUUGACCAGAUAAACAAUUUUACCCAUUGUCAGAUUUGCUCUAAAUGCUCUAAAUGCUUUGGUUUUUGAGUAAUAACCAAAAACUGCAUUUAACCUCCAUAUUCUAUUUUUAGCCGUGGCGGCCAUCUUGGUUGGUUGGCCGGGUCAAAAAACACAAUUUUCAAACUAGAUACAUCAAUGAUGAUUGUGGCCAAGUAUGGAUUAAUUUGGACCGGUAGUUUCAGAGAAGAAGAUUUUUGUAAAAGAUCAUGGAGAUUUACAAAAAAUGGUUUAAAAUUGACUAUAAAGGGCAAUAACUCCUAAAGGGUUCAACUGACCUUUUUGAUCAUGUUGACUUAUUUGUAAAUCUUACUUUGAUGAACAUUAUUGCUGUUUUCAGUUUAUCUCCAUCUAUAAUAAUUUUCAAGAUAAUAACCAAAAACAGUAAAAUUUCCUUAAAAUUACCAAUGUAGGGGCAGCAACCCAACAAUGGGUUGUCUGAUUCAUCUGAAAAUUUCAGGGCAGAUAGAUCUUGACCUGAUAAACAAUUUUACUCCUUGUCAGAUUUGCUCUAAAUGCUUUGUUUUUUUGAGUUUUAAGCCAAAAACUGCAUUUUACCCCUGUGUUCUCUUUUUUUUGCCAUGCGGGCCAUCUUGGUUGGUUGGCCGGGUAAAAAAACACAAAUUUUAAACAAGAUACAUCAAUGAUAAUUGUGGCCAAGUUUGGUUUAAUUUGGCCCAGUAGUUUUAGAGGAGAAGAUUUUUGUAAAAGUUAACAACGACGGACGACAGACGACGGACGCCAAGUGAUGAGAAAAGCUCACUUGGCCUUUUAGGCCAGGUGAGCUUAAAACAUGUUAUGAAAACAUAUUUUGCCAACAUGAAUCGUGAAGCAAUACAAAUAAUUCUAAAACUUUCUGAUCACUGUGCUCUUAAAAUUACAUUCUGAGUUUAUUUUUUUUU
RNAcentral lists this long non-coding RNA (1226 nucleotides) under Mytilus galloprovincialis (Mediterranean mussel). Lineage: Eukaryota; Metazoa; Mollusca; Bivalvia; Mytilida; Mytilidae. The record is from RNAcentral.